GCAGGAGCCGUGGCAGGGAAGCAGGUGGGCCGCCGCCGCAGAUUCGCGUGGAUGUACAAGCAAACACGCGUUCGCCCGAGCCCUGCCGAAGGCAGAGGCCACUGGUUCGAAUCCAGUCGGGUGCACCA
RNAcentral lists this transfer RNA (128 nucleotides) under Sphingomonas desiccabilis. Its description in RNAcentral is "tRNA-OTHER". The record is from RNAcentral. Lineage: Bacteria; Pseudomonadati; Pseudomonadota; Alphaproteobacteria; Sphingomonadales; Sphingomonadaceae.